This 461-nucleotide ribosomal RNA is filed under the name uncultured bacterium. RNAcentral describes it as "partial 16S ribosomal RNA". It matches the Rfam family "Bacterial small subunit ribosomal RNA", at positions 338 to 795 of the family's 1533-position model. The record is from RNAcentral.
CCUACGGGGGGCAGCAGUGAGGCAUAUUGGUCACUGGGCGAGAGCCUGAACCAGCCAAGUCGCGUGAAGGAUGACGGCCCUACGUGUUGUAAACUUCUUUUGUCAGGGAGCAAUUGGGUCCACGCGUGGGCUUAGCGAGAGUACCUGAAGAAAAAGCAUCGGCUAACUCCGUGCCAGCAGCCGCGGUAAUACGGAGGAUCCGAGAGUUAUCCGGAUUUAUUGGGUUUGAGGGGAGCGUAGAUGGGUUGUUGAGUCAGUUGGGAAAGUUUGCGGCUAAACCGUAAAAUUGCAAUUGAUACUGGCAGUCUUGAGUACAGUUGAGGUAGGCGGAAUUCGUGGUGUAGCGGUGAAAUGCUUAGAUAUCACGAAGAACUCCGAUUGCGAAGGCAGCUUACUAAACUGCCACUGACAUUGAUGCUCGAAAGUGUGGGUAUCAAACAGGAUUAGAUACCCCAGUAGGC